GUGAAUCAUCGAAUCUUUGAACGCAAAUUGCACUCUCUGGUAUUCCGGAGAGUAUGCCUGUUUGAGGGUCAGUUAAAAUAAAAAUCGGUGUGGUUGCUGCCUUUCGUGGUGACGCACCUGAUGUGGGUAGUCUAGCCUUCGGUUAAGUGACCUAUAAUUUUGCAUGUUUUUUUUGAAUGUAU
Molecule: unclassified non-coding RNA, 182 nt
Filed under: Glomeraceae sp.
Lineage: Eukaryota; Fungi; Glomeromycota; Glomeromycetes; Glomerales; Glomeraceae
Description: partial contains 5.8S ribosomal RNA and internal transcribed spacer 2
Rfam family: 5.8S ribosomal RNA (bases 1-71)
Source: RNAcentral